GGCUGGUUAGCUGAGUCAGUUAGAGCGUGGUGCUGAUAACACCAAGGCCACGGGUUCAAUUCCCGCUCGGUCC
Molecule: transfer RNA, 73 nt
Filed under: Apaloderma vittatum (bar-tailed trogon)
Lineage: Eukaryota; Metazoa; Chordata; Aves; Trogoniformes; Trogonidae
Rfam family: tRNA
About the family: Transfer RNA (tRNA) molecules are approximately 80 nucleotides in length. Their secondary structure includes four short double-helical elements and three loops (D, anti-codon, and T loops).
Source: Rfam by way of RNAcentral